This 253-nucleotide ribosomal RNA is filed under the name uncultured bacterium. RNAcentral describes it as "partial 16S ribosomal RNA". It matches the Rfam family "Bacterial small subunit ribosomal RNA", at positions 524 to 776 of the family's 1533-position model. The record is from RNAcentral.
UACGUAGGGGGCGAGCGUUAUCCGGAAUUACUGGGCGUAAAGCGCACGCAGGCGGUUCGCCAAGUUUGGAGUGACAGUUGUCGGCUCAACCGACAAAGGACUUCAAAAACUGGUGAACUUGAGGACGAGAGAGGAACAUGGAACUCCAGGUGAAGUAGUGAAAUGCGUAGAUAUCUGGAAGAACACCAAUGGCGAAGGCAAUGUUCUGGCUCGUUUCUGACGCUCAGGUGCGAAAGCCAGGGGAGCGAACGGG